AUUCAUUAAUCAAAAACCUUUUAUUUACAUGGAAAUCACAUGGUAUAUGAUGGAAUAUACUUUUUUUUUUUCUUUUUUUAAAUUUUGUUUUGAUAUGACAUUACAUAUAAUAUAUGGCAGUAAACAGAGGCUACUUAGGAGUGCAUUAAACAUGUAUUGACAACCAAUAAGCCACAAUUAAAACAAUAAGAAAAGUAGAAACUAAUGAACUUAACAAAAAUUCAAUCAACACCAAAUAUUUCCCUUUCUAAUUGCAGUCUAACUACAUUAUUUCUUCAUGUGUUUAAUGGCCUAAUGCAAUGAGAUACCAUUUCCUCAUACAUUU
Molecule: non-coding RNA, 325 nt
Organism: Biomphalaria pfeifferi
Lineage: Eukaryota; Metazoa; Mollusca; Gastropoda; Planorbidae
Source: the annotation of a GenBank genome assembly